AAUGGAGAGACGCAGGAAGGUAGCCGAACCGCGGCGAUGGUUGUUCCGCGGGUAGGGUGUAGGGCGAGGUGUAGGCAAAUCCGCACCUCAUGUGCCUGAGACCUGACACGGACCCGUAAGGGGAAGUCGGUGAUCCUAUGCUGCCAAGAAAAUCUUCUAGCGAGGUUCUAGCCGCCCGUACCCCAAACCGACUCAGGUGGUUAGGUAGAGAAUACCAAGGCGAUCGAGUGAAUCGUGGUUAAGGAAUUCGGCAAAAUACCCCCGUAACUUCGGGAGAAGGGGGGCCCAGAGGGUGACGGGGCAUGCUCCCCGAGCCUGAACGGCCGCAGAGACCAGGGAGAAGCGACUGUUUACUAAAAACACAGGUCCGUGCCAAGUCGCAAGACGAUGUAUACAGACUGACGCCUGCCCGGUGCUGGAACGUUAAGGGGACCGGUUAGCCUCACGGCGAAGCUGAGAACUUAAGCGCCAGUAAACGGCGGUGGUAACUAUAACCAUCCUAAGGUAGCGAAAUUCCUUGUCGGGUAAGUUCCGACCUGCACGAAUGGCGUAACGACUUCUCCACUGUCUCAACCACGAACUCGGCGAAAUUGCACUACGAGUAAAGAUGCUCGUUACGCGCAGAAGGACGGAAAGACCCCGGGACCUUUACUACAGCUUGGUAUUGGUGUUCGGUACGGCUUGUGUAGGAUAGGUGGGAGACUGUGAAGCUGACACGCCAGUGUCGGUGGAGUCAACGUUGAAAUACCACUCUGGUCGUUCUGGAUAUCUAACCUAGGUCCGUAAUCCGGAUCAGGGACAGUGCCUGGUGGGUAGUUUAACUGGGGCGGUUGCCUCCUAAAAGGUAACGGAGGCGCCCAAAGGUUCCCUCAGCCUGGUUGGCAAUCAGGUUUCGAGUGUAAGUGCACAAGGGAGCUUGACUGUGAGACUGACAAGUCGAACAGGGACGAAAGUCGGGACUAGUGAUCCGGCGGUGGCUUGUGGAAGCGCCGUCGCUCAACGGAUAAAAGGUACCCCGGGGAUAACAGGCUGAUCUUGCCCAAGAGUCCAUAUCGACGGCAUGGUUUGGCACCUCGAUGUCGGCUCGUCGCAUCCUGGGGCUGGAGUAGGUCCCAAGGGUUGGGCUGUUCGCCCAUUAAAGCGGUACGCGAGCUGGGUUUAGAACGUCGUGAGACAGUUCGGUCCCUAUCCUCUGCGCGCGCAGGAAACUUGAGAAGGGCUGUCCCUAGUACGAGAGGACCGGGAUGGACGAACCUCUGGUGUGUCAGUUGUUCUGCCAAGAGCACCGCUGAUUAGCUACGUUCGGGAGUGAUAACCGCUGAAAGCAUCUAAGCGGGAAGCAUGCUUCAAGAUGAGGUUUCCAUGGGGUUUACCCCGAGAGGCUCCCAGCUAGACUACUGGGUUGAUAGGCCGGAUGUGGAAGUGCGGUAACGCAUGGAGCUGACCGGUACUAAUAAGCCGAUAACUUGCC
Molecule: ribosomal RNA, 1471 nt
Filed under: metagenome
Description: bacterial LSU rRNA
Rfam family: Bacterial large subunit ribosomal RNA
Source: RNAcentral